CCUACGGGGGGCUGCAGUGAGGAAUAUUGGUCAAUGGGCGAAAGCCUGAUGGAGUAACGCCGCGUGCAGGAUGACUGCCCUACGGGUUGUAAACUUCUUUUAUAAAGGAAUAAAGUGAGGCACGUGUGCCUUUUUGUAUGUACUUUAUGAAUAAGGAUCGGCUAACUCCGUGCCAGCAGCCGCGGUAAUACGGAGGAUCCGAGCGUUAUCCGGAUUUAUUGGGUUUAAGGGGAGCGUAGAUGGGUUGUUAAGUCAGUUGUGAAAGUUUGCGGCUCAACCGUAAAAUUGCAAUUGAUACUGGCAGUCUUGAGUACAGUUGAGGUAGGCGGAAUUCGUGGUGUAGCGGUGAAAUGCUUAGAUAUCACGAAGAACCCCGAUUGCGAAGGCAGCUUACUAAACUGUGACUGACAUUGAUGCUCGAAAGUGUGGGUAUCAAACAGGAUUAGAUACCCCAGUAGUC
RNAcentral lists this ribosomal RNA (460 nucleotides) under uncultured bacterium. Its description in RNAcentral is "partial 16S ribosomal RNA". It matches the Rfam family "Bacterial small subunit ribosomal RNA", at positions 338 to 795 of the family's 1533-position model. The record is from RNAcentral.